This 239-nucleotide ribosomal RNA is filed under the name uncultured bacterium. RNAcentral describes it as "partial 16S ribosomal RNA". It matches the Rfam family "Bacterial small subunit ribosomal RNA", at positions 335 to 573 of the family's 1533-position model. The record is from RNAcentral.
ACUCCUACGGGAGGCAGCAGUAAGGAAUAUUGGACAAUGGGCGCAAGCCUGAUCCAGCCAUCCCGCGUGCAGGAAGACAGCCCUAUGGGUUUUAAACUCUUUAGAAGGGAUAAACGGCCUACAUUUAUGUGGGUUGUACGGUACCUUCAGAAUAAGCACCGGCUAACUCCGUGCCAGCAGCCGCGGUAAUACGGAGGGUGCGAGCGUUAUCCGGAAUUACUGGGUUUAAAGGGUGCGUA